This 571-nucleotide ribosomal RNA is filed under the name uncultured fungus. RNAcentral describes it as "eukaryotic LSU rRNA". It matches the Rfam family "Eukaryotic large subunit ribosomal RNA", at positions 66 to 650 of the family's 3401-position model. Lineage: Eukaryota; Fungi. The record is from RNAcentral.
CAACAGGGAUUGCCUCAGUAACGGCGAGUGAAGCGGCAAUAGCUCAAAUUUGAAAGCUGGCUUACGCCCGCGUUGUAAUUUGUAGAGGAUGCUUCGGAUGCGGUGCCGGUCUAAGUUCUUUGGAACAGGACGUCAUAGAGGGUGAGAAUCCCGUAUGUGACUGGUGGCCUGCGUUUAUGUGAAGCUCCUUCGACGAGUCGAGUUGUUUGGGAAUGCAGCUCUAAAUGGGUGGUGUACUUCAUCUAAAGCUAAAUAUUGGCUGGAGACCGAUAGCGCACAAGUAGAGUGAUCGAAAGAUGAAAAGCACUUUGGAAAGAGAGUUAAAUAGUACGUGAAAUUGUUGAAAGGGAAGCGCUUGCAAUCAGACUUGCGCUGCGUCGAUCAACCUGGGUUCUCCCUGGUGCACUCGGCGCAGCUCAGGCCAGCAUCAGUUUCGGCGGUUGGAUAAAGGCCUGGAGAACGUGAGUUGCUUCGGCGACUGUUAUAGCUCCAGGUGCAAUGCAGCCAGCUGGGACUGAGGACCGCGCUUUUCGCGAAGCUAGGAUGCUGGCGUAAUGGUUGUAAGCGACCC